GAUGAAGAACGCAGCGAAAUGCGAUAAGUAAUGUGAAUUGCAGAAUUCAGUGAAUCAUCGAAUCUUUGAACGCACCUUGCACCCUUUGGCAUUCCGAAGGGUAUGCUCGUUUGAGUGUCAUUGUACUCUCACUCUCCCGAUGCUUUUGGAUCGGGAGUGGUGGACUUGGGUGUUGCUGCUUUGCUGUGGCUCGCCUCAAAUGGAGUAGUGCAACUCUUGGUUGGACAUAGUACGGCGUGAUAAGUGUCUUCGCCGGCGCCUCAUUAUAGAGGGUGGCCGAUCGGGAGCUCUGUGCUUCAAACCGUCUUCGGACAACAUCUGACAACUUGACCUCAAAUCGAGUAGGACUACCCGCUGAACUUAAGCAUAUCAUAAGCGGAGGA
This 383-nucleotide unclassified non-coding RNA is filed under the name soil metagenome. RNAcentral's name for it is "partial contains 5.8S ribosomal RNA, internal transcribed spacer 2, and large subunit ribosomal RNA". The stretch from base 1 to 120 matches the Rfam family "5.8S ribosomal RNA", at positions 35 to 154 of the family's 154-position model. The record is from RNAcentral.